UAAUGCACGAGAACAUUUGUUAAUUGUACUGACUUGGUGGCCCAUCUUAUAUUUUAAUUGUAGAACCGUUUUGGAUUUUGCAAACAUAUUUUAGGGAAAACAUCGGAGCAUCGUAAUUCGAUAAAAGCAUACUGGCUCUUGGCCGUGAAGUUAUUAUAUUGUACGCUUAGAUGAUUAUUGUGAACAUAAGGAAAAUGGUGGAGAGAAUGAGAAAUUACUUUAGUACUUUAACAUGGUGGUUGGUAGAUUGGAUGGAGAGAGAACCUCAAAUUAAUAGUAAUGCUAUUAAGGGCGUAGCUCGUUUGG
Molecule: long non-coding RNA, 306 nt
Organism: Capsella rubella
Lineage: Eukaryota; Viridiplantae; Streptophyta; Magnoliopsida; Brassicales; Brassicaceae
Exons: 3
Source: RefSeq, a predicted model, not a curated record